GUAAGCGUUGUGCCGUUUGCGCAAAGCGCGCCCCCGUGCGAGGCGGGGGUGUACGUAAUCGACCGUGACGCGUGAACAUACACCGUUUUAUUAUAUACGAAACCACAAUUUGAUUUAGGUUCUUUUCGUUUCUGUUGGAUUAUGCUGAUAAAAAAUGUGUUCAGCUAAGGAGUACGUAAUGAGCACAACCAAAACAAAUGUGGUUCAUUGUUGUAAUCUCGGCAAAAAUGAUUGACCCGUGCCGUAAUACUUUGUUAAAUUGCAAUGAUUAUCCACCAUGGUAGUCUGAAUCACUCUUUACGAACUCCUACUGAACUACUGUACUUUGGUAUCGUAACCUAAAAGAAGGUUUCCCAAGACUAUGAGAAUCCAGGCGGCUACGAUUUAUUCAUCCUUUACCGCAGGGACGAUUUGCCGAUAAAAUGUAACGAUGAUCAACCUAAAACGGACGGAACAAGAGCCCGUCAGUAGCAAACAUGGGAUUGUAUUCUUGAACGUUUAUUUUCCGUUUUCGGCUGAACAAUGCUGCAACUACUUUAGUGAAUUAUUGAUUUUUAUAAUUCUACAGAGGAUCAAAUAGUCGUUCUGAUGAUAGAAUCAAUACAUUUUCCAACUCGUGAUAUUUGUUUUGUGUUAUUGGUAGUAGGUAUUUAAAAGAAGUUGAAUAGAUACUAUUCACGGUCACAAAGAAUUCUAGAAAUAUACUCAAACAGUCGAACUUAGAUUUUUCGACUUCAUAUAAAAAACACUAUCCAUUGCAAUCUCAUCAACACUAUCAGAUGGAAGUCGAAAAAUAUAAAUUGAUAGUUUGCAAAUGUUUUGUUCUUGAGAAAUGUUAUGUUCAUGAGAAAAAAAGAUUGUGAAAAAUUCCCGAAACCGAUUGGUUAAACGGGAACAUGAUAAGUACAACAAAAGGGGUUAUUAAAGAAAAUAAGUAAUUUGAAAAACGCAAUACUUUUGCACGAACUAAAAGUUACACAACCGAUUAUUGCUUUCCUAUUAAAAAAAAAUUAGGAUUAAAACAAUAGAUUUAAUGUUAGAAGUAUUUGAUUAAAAACCAAUGAUCACAAAUCAGUUAAUACUGUAAUUGCCAAGAAGAUUGCUGUAGUCGUAAAAAUAUUUCGAAUGGUAAGGAGCUUUCACAUAAACAUUAUUCAACAUGCAAGGGAUUUCUAUAACGUAGCUCUUAAGUAUUAUAUCAAAUCAAACAUUUGGAAAAUAAAUGCGCGUGAUUAUU
This is a long non-coding RNA of Sabethes cyaneus, 1237 nucleotides long. RefSeq lists it as uncharacterized. The record is from RefSeq and is a predicted model, not a curated record. NCBI's taxonomy places the organism in Eukaryota, Metazoa, Arthropoda, Insecta, Diptera, Culicidae. The transcript has 3 exons.